Molecule: ribosomal RNA, 503 nt
Filed under: uncultured bacterium
Lineage: Bacteria
Description: partial 16S ribosomal RNA
Rfam family: Bacterial small subunit ribosomal RNA
Source: RNAcentral
AUUGAACGCUGGCGGCAGGCUUAACACAUGCAAGUCGAGCGGGGUGAUGGUGCUUGCACUAUCACUUAGCGGCGGACGGGUGAGUAAUGCUUAGGAAUCUGCCUAUUAGUGGGGGACAACAUCUCGAAAGGGAUGCUAAUACCGCAUACGUCCUACGGGAGAAAGCAGGGGAUCACUUGUGACCUUGCGCUAAUAGGUGAGCCUAAGUCGGAUUAGCUAGUUGGUGGGGUAAAGGCCUACCAAGGCGACGAUCUGUAGCGGGUCUGAGAGGAUGAUCCGCCACACUGGGACUGAGACACGGCCCAGACUCCUACGGGAGGCAGCAGUGGGGAAUAUUGGACAAUGGGGGGAACCCUGAUCCAGCCAUGCCGCGUGUGUGAAGAAGGCCUUAUGGUCGUAAAGCACUUUAAGCGAGGAGGAGGCUCUUUUGGUUAAUACCCAAGAUGAGUGGACGUUACUCGCAGAAUAAGCACCGGCUAACUCUGUGCCAGCCGCCGCGGUAA